AGCAGAGUGGUUAGCAUUUCCUGACUGAUGAGGGCCCUGAAUGUUGGAAAAACACCUGGGUACUAAUGUGUUCUCUUCAGCAAACAAGAUGCUCCUGUUUACUAGAAUCCUGUAAGGGUCCAGACCAAUCCAGUCUACUCCUGGGCCCAAGAUAUUUCCACACCAGCACCAGAAAGUGGUGUCCAACCACCAGGGAGUCCAGAAACUGCAAUCAAACAGGAACACUUCCUGGAAAAAUGAAUGGAAUGCCUUUUGCCUGCUUAUCCUUUUGUUUCCUGAUGAGGUUCACAAAUUCUUCUAAAAUCCUGGAUGCAGUUUAAGAAUGCCUAAAUCCCCAGAAAUAAGUAGAAGAGCAAGAGGAGGAAGGAGAAGCUUGAGAAAGACAACAGCCGUGAACUUUGAAGAUUACAGAGGUGAUAGAGAGGACAGCUCUGGUGGAUGGGUCUUCUGUGCCAUGAGGGAGGGAUACGGACCGGCCAUUGCAUCAGCUCAACGAUGGAUGACCCACCCUCUUGCAUCCUCUGCAUAUAGAUUUGUGAUUAAGGACCUCCAGCAGCAAGCUCUGU
Long non-coding RNA from Tachyglossus aculeatus (Australian echidna), 566 nucleotides. RefSeq lists it as uncharacterized. The record is from RefSeq and is a predicted model, not a curated record. NCBI's taxonomy places the organism in Eukaryota, Metazoa, Chordata, Mammalia, Monotremata, Tachyglossidae. The transcript has 4 exons.